Non-coding RNA from Acanthosepion pharaonis, 107 nucleotides. Lineage: Eukaryota; Metazoa; Mollusca; Cephalopoda; Sepiida; Sepiidae. The record is from the annotation of a GenBank genome assembly.
UAGCCAUAUCACAUUGAAACACCAGUUCCCAUAUGAUUGCUAAAGUUAAGCAACAUCAAGCCCAGUCAGUAUCUAGAUGGAUGACCACUUGGGAAUACCAGGUGCAG